RNAcentral lists this ribosomal RNA (501 nucleotides) under uncultured bacterium. Its description in RNAcentral is "partial 16S ribosomal RNA". It matches the Rfam family "Bacterial small subunit ribosomal RNA", at positions 30 to 523 of the family's 1533-position model. The record is from RNAcentral.
AUUGAACGCUGGCGGCAGGCUUAACACAUGCAAGUCGAGCGGGGGAAGGUAGCUUGCUACCGGACCUAGCGGCGGACGGGUGAGUAAUGCUUAGGAAUCUGCCUAUUAGUGGGGGACAACAUCUCGAAAGGGAUGCUAAUACCGCAUACGUCCUACGGGAGAAAGCAGGGGAUCUUCGGACCUUGCGCUAAUAGAUGAGCCUAAGUCGGAUCACCCAGUUGGUGGGGUAAAGGCCUACCAAGGCGACGAUCUGUAGCGGGUCUGAGAGGAUGAGCCGCCACACUGGGACGGCGACACGGCCCAGACUCCUACGGGAGGCAGCAGUGGGGAAUAUUGGACAAUGGGGGGAACCCUGAUCCAGCCAUGCCGCGUGUGUGAAGAAGGCCUUAUGGUUGUAAAGCACUUUAAGCGAGGAGGAGGCUACUUUAGUUAAUACCUAGAGAUAGUGGACGUUACUCUCAGAAUAAGCACCGGCUAACUCUGUGCCAGCCGCCGCAGUAA